CCUACGGGUGGCAGCAGUCGAGAAUCUUUCACAAUGGGGGAAACCCUGAUGGUGCGACGCCGCGUGGGGGAAUGAAGGUCUUCGGAUUGUAAACCCCUGUCAUGUGGGAGCAAAUUAAAAAGAUAGUACCACAAGAGGAAGAGACGGCUAACUCGGUGCCAGCAGCCGCGGUAAUACAGAGGUAUCAAGCGUUGGUCGGAAUCACUGGGCGUAAAGCGUGCGUAGGCUGUUUCGUAAGUCGUGUGUGAAAGGCGGGGGCUCAACCCGCGGACGGCACAUGAUACUGCGAGACUAGAGUAAUGGAGAGGGAAGCGGAAUUCUCGGUGUAGCAGUGAAAUGCGUAGAUAUCGCGAGGAACACUCGUGGCGAAGGCAGGUUACUGGACAUCAACUGACGCUGAGGCACGAAGGCCAGGGGAGCGAACGGGAUUAGAUACCCCUGUAGUC
RNAcentral lists this ribosomal RNA (446 nucleotides) under uncultured bacterium. Its description in RNAcentral is "partial 16S ribosomal RNA". It matches the Rfam family "Bacterial small subunit ribosomal RNA", at positions 338 to 795 of the family's 1533-position model. The record is from RNAcentral.